This 1691-nucleotide ribosomal RNA is filed under the name Escherichia coli. Its description in RNAcentral is "partial 23S ribosomal RNA". It matches the Rfam family "Bacterial large subunit ribosomal RNA", at positions 1216 to 2886 of the family's 2925-position model. The record is from RNAcentral. Lineage: Bacteria; Pseudomonadati; Pseudomonadota; Gammaproteobacteria; Enterobacterales; Enterobacteriaceae.
AUGCGUUGUUGGGUAGGGGAGCGUUCUGUAAGCCUGCGAAGGUGUGCUGUGAGGCAUGCUGGAGGUAUCAGAAGUGCGAAUGCUGACAUAAGUAACGAUAAAGCGGGUGAAAAGCCCGCUCGCCGGAAGACCAAGGGUUCCUGUCCAACGUUAAUCGGGGCAGGGUGAGUCGACCCCUAAGGCGAGGCCGAAAGGCGUAGUCGAUGGGAAACAGGUUAAUAUUCCUGUACUUGGUGUUACUGCGAAGGGGGGACGGAGAAGGCUAUGUUGGCCGGGCGACGGUUGUCCCGGUUUAAGCGUGUAGGCUGGUUUUCCAGGCAAAUCCGGAAAAUCAAGGCUGAGGCGUGAUGACGAGGCACUGCGGUGCUGAAGCAACAAAUGCCCUGCUUCCAGGAAAAGCCUCUAAGCAUCAGGUAACAUCAAAUCGUACCCCAAACCGACACAGGUGGUCAGGUAGAGAAUACCAAGGCGCUUGAGAGAACUCGGGUGAAGGAACUAGGCAAAAUGGUGCCGUAACUUCGGGAGAAGGCACGCUGAUAUGUAGGUGAAGUCCCUCGCGGAUGGAGCUGAAAUCAGUCGAAGAUACCAGCUGGCUGCAACUGUUUAUUAAAAACACAGCACUGUGCAAACACGAAAGUGGACGUAUACGGUGUGACGCCUGCCCGGUGCCGGAAGGUUAAUUGAUGGGGUUAGCGCAAGCGAAGCUCUUGAUCGAAGCCCCGGUAAACGGCGGCCGUAACUAUAACGGUCCUAAGGUAGCGAAAUUCCUUGUCGGGUAAGUUCCGACCUGCACGAAUGGCGUAAUGAUGGCCAGGCUGUCUCCACCCGAGACUCAGUGAAAUUGAACUCGCUGUGAAGAUGCAGUGUACCCGCGGCAAGACGGAAAGACCCCGUGAACCUUUACUAUAGCUUGACACUGAACAUUGAGCCUUGAUGUGUAGGAUAGGUGGGAGGCUUUGAAGUGUGGACGCCAGUCUGCAUGGAGCCGACCUUGAAAUACCACCCUUUAAUGUUUGAUGUUCUAACGUUGACCCGUAAUCCGGGUUGCGGACAGUGUCUGGUGGGUAGUUUGACUGGGGCGGUCUCCUCCUAAAGAGUAACGGAGGAGCACGAAGGUUGGCUAAUCCUGGUCGGACAUCAGGAGGUUAGUGCAAUGGCAUAAGCCAGCUUGACUGCGAGCGUGACGGCGCGAGCAGGUGCGAAAGCAGGUCAUAGUGAUCCGGUGGUUCUGAAUGGAAGGGCCAUCGCUCAACGGAUAAAAGGUACUCCGGGGAUAACAGGCUGAUACCGCCCAAGAGUUCAUAUCGACGGCGGUGUUUGGCACCUCGAUGUCGGCUCAUCACAUCCUGGGGCUGAAGUAGGUCCCAAGGGUAUGGCUGUUCGCCAUUUAAAGUGGUACGCGAGCUGGGUUUAGAACGUCGUGAGACAGUUCGGUCCCUAUCUGCCGUGGGCGCUGGAGAACUGAGGGGGGCUGCUCCUAGUACGAGAGGACCGGAGUGGACGCAUCACUGGUGUUCGGGUUGUCAUGCCAAUGGCACUGCCCGGUAGCUAAAUGCGGAAGAGAUAAGUGCUGAAAGCAUCUAAGCACGAAACUUGCCCCGAGAUGAGUUCUCCCUGACUCCUUGAGAGUCCUGAAGGAACGUUGAAGACGACGACGUUGAUAGGCCGGGUGUGUAAGCGCAGCGAUGCGU